AACGCACAUUGCGCCCCUUGGUAUUCCGAGGGGCAUGCCUGUUCGAGCGUCAUUACAACCCUCAAGCACUGCUUGGUGUUGGGCCUCGCCGCUAACCCGGCGGGCUCUAAAAACAGUGGCGGUGCCGUCGGGCUCUGAGCGUAGUAAUUCUUCUCGCUAUAGAGUCCCGGUGGAUGCUGGCCAACAACCCCCAAUUUUCUAUGGUUGACCUCGGAUCAGGUAGGGAUACCCGCUGAACUUAA
This 242-nucleotide unclassified non-coding RNA is filed under the name Leptodontidium sp. RNAcentral describes it as "partial contains 5.8S ribosomal RNA, internal transcribed spacer 2, and large subunit ribosomal RNA". The stretch from base 1 to 52 matches the Rfam family "5.8S ribosomal RNA", at positions 103 to 154 of the family's 154-position model. RNAcentral also lists the same sequence under 3 other names. The record is from RNAcentral. Lineage: Eukaryota; Fungi; Ascomycota; Leotiomycetes; Helotiales; Leptodontidiaceae.